UACUAUUAUUUUUAGUUUCUGAUAGACCAGGGGACUCCGUAAACCUUAGGACCUUAUUGUGAUCUGGCUGGUUCUAAAUUUAUAUGGAUUCAUCAGUUUCCAUGGAAUGAUUAUUUUAAGGAAUCCCCCUGUUUCACUCCAACGAUUACUUUAUGAUGGCAAUUCUCUUGCUUGUAACAUAAAGUGGUAGCUAUAUGCCAUAUCAGAAUGGCCUCCUCCAGAUUCCCAUGCGACUCCAAGACCUUCAGGAUUUCAGCAUGGAGUACCGCAUGCAAAAACGAUUUUGCAAAACAACAUCAUAUGCUCUUGCUGGCAUAUGAUUAUGGACAGAAUCUGGUAUAUUUCCUUCCUGUUGACUCUAGAGAUAUAACAUAUUAUCUUUCUGAGGUUAUUGAUCUGUUGUCUUACUUUUCUAAGCCUUUUUUUACUUGAAAAUUGAAACCUUAACUUUUCUUGAGUUCUAGCUUCUUUUUAUGGGACGUGGUUAAGUUAUAAUAUGUUAAUAAGGUCCCCAUUAUUGUUAUAUUAGUUACUUGAACUCUAUAUGUUUAAAGUCUGGGCUAUUUCCUUGCUGGUUGACUCUAGAGAUAUAGCAUAUUAUCAUUCUGAGGUUAUUGAUCUGUUGUUUUACUUUUCUAAGCCUUUUUUACUUAAAAAUUGAAACCUAACUUUUCUUAGAGUUCUAGCUUCCUUUUAUGGGACGUGAUUCAGUUGUAAUAUGUUAAUAAGGUCCAGGCUAUUGCUAUAUUAGUUACUUGAACUCCAUAUGUUUAAGGUCUGGGCUAUUGCUAUAUUAGUUAUUUAAACUCUAUAUGAUUAUGGUUUGGGCCACUGUGUUUAUUCAAGUGAGUUUGUUGUCUUCUUAAUAAAAGAUUAAAUAUGAACCCUUUUCGGGGUGCACUGUUUUGAUUCACUUUUUCUUCAUUACGUCCUUGGUUAGAAGAAUUAACCAUUUCAUACUUAGAUGAUUGUGUGUGAGGAUGCUUUGAGCAUGUUUGUCUAUUCUAGAUGCUUUUGAUUUCUAGAUGCUCAUUGAUUUUGAUGUGUUGUUUUGUGUGUGAUUUUCACAAGUUACUAUAUAUGUUUGUGUUUCUUGUUGGUACAUAAAUGAUCUGGUAUCACAAGAUAAACAUUCUUAAACAUGCAAAUUAUGUGUGGAUACUGGCUAAUCUUGUGGGUACAUAAAUGAUCUAGUAUCACAAGAUAAACAAUCUUAAACAUGCAAAUUAUGUGUGCAUACUGGCUAUAUAUGUUUGUGUUUCUUGUUGGUGCAUAAAUGAUCAACACAAGAUUAAUAUUCUUAAACAUGCAAUGUGUGCAUUCUGGCAAAUUGUUGGUACAUAAACGAUCUGGCUAUAUAUGUUUGUGUUUCUUGCUGGUGGAUAAAUGAUCUGGUAACAAAAGAUUAACAGUCUUAAACAUGCAAAUUAUGUGUGCAUACUAGCUAAUCUUGUUGGUACAUAAAUGAUCUGGUAUCACAAGAUAAACAUUCUUAAACAUGCAAAUUAUGUGUGCAUACUAGCUAUACUCUGUAUAUCGCGAGGAGAUUUGGGAUCCAUGCGUGGUUGCAGAUGUAUUUGAUGACAUUCAUUUCAUCAUCCACAAUAUUCUUCACUUAGCAUAGUUUCCUUUUGUUUUCAAGGAAAUUGUCAAGAUAGGGCUCCAUUAUAGAGUGUCUUACCUUUAGAAGUCUACUAGCUACACAUAUGCAAAUGCCAUUGUCUAUUUCUAUCUGGAUAACAUUUUGACUCCCACCUCCUCACCACUUCAUUGAACAGGCUACAAAAGUUUUCAGCAUUUUAAUUUCAUUAGAAACAUCAAUUGACUUCAAAAAGACAUGUUAUCCUCCUAAAGGCACUAGAGAGUUAACGAGUGCCUCAUUUCAAAUGUCCAUCCACUUGUUAGAUGCUUUGCUGCAGUCUUUCCUUUUCCUAGUCAUUCCUUUAGGGUGUCUUACCUUUAGAAGUCUACUAGCUACAAUAUGCAAAUGCCAUUGUCUAUUUCUAUCUGGAUAACAUUUUGACUCCCACCUCCAUCACCAUCUCAUUGAACAAGCUACAAAAGUUUUCAGCAUUUUUAUUUGAUUAGAAACAUCAGUUGACUUCAAAAAGACAUAUUAUCCUCCUAAAGGCACUAGAGAGUUAACGAGUGCCUCAUUUCAACCAUCCAUCCACCUGUUAGAUGAUUUGCUGCAGUUUACAAAGCUUGAACAAGUUGAAAACUUGCAUAAAGUUCUAAAUGUCAUAGGUAUUCUGUUGUUAUUCCUUUUGCAAUGAUUGUGCUAUUUUAAAAUUGCAGAGACUCUAGAGAUACAGUGCAGAAAAGUGUUAUCUAGGUCUAAAUGUACAGUGUUUAAUAAAAUACUUCUUUUUUAU
This is a long non-coding RNA of Cryptomeria japonica (Japanese cedar), 2375 nucleotides long. RefSeq lists it as uncharacterized. Lineage: Eukaryota; Viridiplantae; Streptophyta; Pinopsida; Cupressales; Cupressaceae. The record is from RefSeq and is a predicted model, not a curated record. The transcript has 3 exons.